Molecule: long non-coding RNA, 2545 nt
Organism: Felis catus (domestic cat)
Lineage: Eukaryota; Metazoa; Chordata; Mammalia; Carnivora; Felidae
Exons: 2
Source: RefSeq, a predicted model, not a curated record
UCUGAGGAGCCAGCACAAAGGAAAAUGAGGAGUUGGUGGUUUUAAAGAAUGCAGCUAUACACAGAGUAAAACAGGAGAGAAACAGAAGACAACUCACAUGGGGGAGAUCAUGAGAAAAAGCCACUGGGCCAGUGACCCCACCCCCCCCAUGUCAAGAGCAGACCAUUCCAAUCCUGAGGAUGGAACAACGCCUACGGUGACCCAUCCAUCAACAGAAGACUUCUGCAGAUGUCCAUUUACAACUGAAGCAACACUCUUUGAUCCAAGCGGAAAUUACUUGUGCUACCUUCAUGGCACCAAACUACAAGUACAGGAGGAAUUCAUUCAUUUACAAGGACCACAGGUGUGCAUCUCAGGCACACCCUCCUAUAUUCAAAGUCUCUAUUAUAAAAGCAAAUAUCUGACUCUGGGUAAUAUUUAUUACAUCUUGGUCAGUUUAAUUUUAUAAUAUAACUUAAAAUGUUAACAGUCAGGUGGCAGGGACAUGAAACUCCAUCGGCCCCAAUUUAAACUUAAAAUCCUUGGUGUAUUUUUAUAGGUAAUUUAAAGCCCUCUUUGGAGUAAGAAUAAGUAUAAAUACACACAUUAAAAUCAUCUGCAUCCAACCCCAUCAUCUGAAGGUGAAAAUGGGGCCAAGUGUGACCUGCCCAGGGUCAUAUCAGCCAUGCAGCUGAGGGUGGUGGUUCCCAGGAUCCAGCCUCCUCUCGGUAGCCUCCAUGCAAAGCUACAUGGCUUCCCUUUGGGCUAAUGUUACAGUUAGGACACAAGACAAUAAUUGGGAUGCUUCCAACCUUUUGGAUUCCAACCACACAGGAUGAUUCUUCUGUCAUUGGGGUUGGUUUUGAUUGUGUCAAUCACCUUUUGCAGUUGAUCUACUCCUUGACCUGAAUAAUCUGUAGAAUCGUCAAAAAAGAGAAGACAUGUCCACAUAUCAAUCACAGGAUCUUAUGAGAUGACCUUAGAGGCCAUCCACCACUGUCCUACCACAGCCCCCCUGUGGCCACACUACAAGAUGAACUCCUACCUUAUUCCCCAACACAGCAACCAACUGACCAACCAGCAGACCAACUAUCUGCUAGCGAAACAAGCUACAGAAAGUACCAAGCACCCAAUAAAAACUAACAACCAAGAGUGUGAUCUACCUGAAUCUGAAACAGCCUCUCACAAGGUCAAAGUUCUAUAUAUAUCAGCUCCUCAGACUGGCUUCUUACAACCCCAACUUCACUAGAAACAAUGGAGCAAACUCAUGCUAUACCAGAUGCUCAGGAAAUUAAGGCUUUGCUCUGUUUUCUCACCUGAAUCCUUAUCUUUGUAUUCUGCCCCAAAAUGCCUCCACUGAAAGCCAUAAACUGGGCCUAAAUCCCCUUCUUCUCUGUUGGAGAAUCCUAGGCUGUCCAAGAAGUUUCGGGACCCAUUGGCAUCCCAGAUUUUCACUCCCUUGGAUGACAGUUCCUUAGCGUUUGUAGAUCCCUGGAAGAGACAGGACAACAGAGAAGGCAUCCAAGUGAACUGAGCCAUAAGGAGUUGAUAGCCCAAGAGCUUCCCACCAAUUAGGCCUCUGGCCCGUGCUAACACACCAGGGACAGGCACUCACACGUCCUGCACAGCUGGACAUCCCAUCUUUAAAGGCCAGUCCCAGCUGACUUUUUGAGGGCCUCUAGGGCAGUUUUCUGGUAUCACUUCCAGGACAGGUGAUUCUUGGAAUUAUUACCCUUUCAAAUCUUUUCUCCUAUUCUUCUCAACUAAAUGUUCUAGAUUAAACACCUCCAAAUCCUUUCAUUAUUCCCACCUCGCCUAACAGUCUUGUGCUUUUUAACAAAACGUGUGUCUAAGUGUGAUCCCCCAAAAUGCACUUAAUGCCUCACCUGCAGUCUGUUCAGUGUAUCUUAGACCUGGUUGGUACAUAGGCUAUUUCACUAAUUGGUGUAAUCGGUAUCAGCUUUUCUUGCAAAUCUAUCAUCCACGUUAUAUGUGCCACUGUCGAGUUAUGCUUACCCCAACCUAUAUAUGCAGUUAAGGUGGUGUUUUGUUUUUUCCCAAGUACGAGCCCAUGUUUAUUUCUUAUAUUUAAUCUCAUCAGAUGUGGCCCAUAUCAUCCUAACCUAUGUCCUGAUUGUGCCUCCAGGUCACAGACAGAUCUCAACGGCCUCUGGGUAGGACAUGCUGUAAUGGGGACAAACAAGGCUGUGGUGCCACACACGCACACCGGGGCUCUGUGCCUGCCCUCCACGACCCUUCUCUGACAGCUCCCUGACCCCCUGGCCUUGCUAUCUCCAUCCACAGAAGAGCUCAGUAUUCCCCCCACACAGUAGUGUGAGGGUAGAGGACACAAAGUGCUCAGUGCACCACAGAUCCUAACUUCAGCACAGACCCCGUCUCUCCGUCCUGCCCACGGAUGCCAGCAGCAGUGCAGGUUCAUUCUGACUCCUGUGUUUCAUCCAGUCACUCAGGGAGCAACUCUAUCAGAGGGGAGCCUGACACGUUCCUGGUAAAGGGUUCUUAGAAUCCUGAAUUCAAGCUAAAUUAAAAGAAGCGACUGCAUUUA